RNAcentral lists this unclassified non-coding RNA (213 nucleotides) under plant metagenome. Its description in RNAcentral is "partial contains small subunit ribosomal RNA, internal transcribed spacer 1, and 5.8S ribosomal RNA". The record is from RNAcentral.
UUUCAGUAGGUGAACCUGCGGAAGGAUCAUUCAUAAUAAGUGUUUUAUGGCACUUUUUUAAAUCCAUAUCCACCUUGUGUGCAAUGUCAGGGUUGAUUUUUCUCUCGAGAGGAUCAACCCCAAACAUCAACUAUAUCUCAACUCUUUGUCUGAAAAAUAUUAUGAAUAAAACAAUUCAAAAUACAACUUUCAACAACGGAUCUCUUGGCUCUC